GGGCACUGGAAGGUCCCUAAACCGAAAGGGGCUCUGCCCGCCCGAGGAUGGGCCGGCGGCCGAUUAGGUAGUUGGUGGGGUAACGGCCCACCAAGCCCAUAAUCGGUACGGGCAGUGAGAGCUGGAGCCCGGAGAUGGACACUGAGACACGGGUCCAGGCCCUACGGGGCGCAGCAGGCGCGAAACCUCCGCAAUGCUCGAAAGAGCGACGGGGGGACCCCAAGUGCCGUGGUACAACCACGGCUUUUCCGGAGUGUAAGAAGCUCCGGGAAUAAGGGCUGGGCAAGGCCGGUGGCAGCCGCCGCGGUAAUACCGGCGGCCCGAGUGGUGGCCACUAUUAUUGGGCCUAAAGCGUCCGUAGCCGGGCUUGUAAGUCCCUGGCGAAAUCCCACGGCUCAACCGUGGGGCUUGCUGGGGAUACUGCAAGCCUUGGGACCGGGAGAGGCCGGGGGUACUCCUGGGGUAGGGGUGAAAUCCUAUAAUCCCAGGAGGACCGCCAGUGGCGAAGGCGCCCGGCUGGAACGGGUCCGACGGUGAGGGACGAAGGCCAGGGGAGCAAACCGGAUUAGAUACCCGGGUAGUCCUGGCUGUAAAGGAUGCGGGCUAGGUGUUGCUUGGACCUCGAGUCCAAGCAGUGCC
Molecule: ribosomal RNA, 639 nt
Filed under: uncultured archaeon
Lineage: Archaea
Description: bacterial SSU rRNA
Rfam family: Archaeal small subunit ribosomal RNA
Source: RNAcentral